AGAGUUUGAUCAUGGCUCAGAUUGAACGCUGGCGGCAGGCCUAACAUAUGCAAGUCGAACGGUAGCACAGAGAGCUUGCUCUCGGGUGACGAGUGGCGGACGGGUGAGUAAUGUCUGGGAAACUGCCCGAUGGAGGGGGAUAACUACUGGAAACGGUAGCUAAUACCGCAUAACGUCGCAAGACCAAAGAGGGGGACCUUAGGGCCUCUUGCCAUCGGAUGUGCCCAGAUGGGAUUAGCUUGUAGGUGAGGUAACGGCUCACCUAGGCGACGAUCCGUAACUGGUCUGAGAGGAUGAUCAGUCACACUGGAACUGAGACACGGUCCAGACUCCUACGGGAGGCAGCAGUGGGGAAUAUUGGACAAUGGGCGAAAGCCUGAUCCAGCCAUGCCGCGUGUAUGAAGAAGGCCUUCGGGUUGUAAAGUACUUUCAGCGGGGAGGAAGGUGUUGAGGUUAAUAACCUCAGCAAUUGACGUUACCCGCAGAAGAAGCACCGGCUAACUCCGUGCCAGCAGCCGCGGUAAUAC
Molecule: ribosomal RNA, 527 nt
Filed under: uncultured bacterium
Lineage: Bacteria
Description: bacterial SSU rRNA
Rfam family: Bacterial small subunit ribosomal RNA
Source: RNAcentral